UAGUCCACGCCGUAAACGAUGGAUACUAGCUGUCCGGGUCCUUGAGGCCUGGGCGGCCAAGCGAAAGUGAUAAGUAUCCCACCUGGGGAGUACGUUCGCAAGAAUGAAACUCAAAGGAAUUGACGGGGGCCCGCACAAGCGGUGGAGCAUGUGGUUUAAUUCGAUGAUACGCGAGGAACCUUACCAGGGCUUAAAUGCAUAUUGACAGGGUCAGAGAUGGCCUUUCCUUCGGGCAAUUUGCAAGGUGCUGCAUGGUUGUCGUCAGCUCGUGCCGUGAGGUGUCAGGUUAAGUCCCGCAACGAGCGCAACCCCUAUUUCUAGUUGCCAGCACAUAAUGGUGGGGACUCUAGAGAGACUGCCGGCGCAAGCCGCGAGGGAAGGUGGGGGAUGACGUCAAAUCAUCAUGGCCUUUAUGCCCAGGGGCUACACACGUGCUACAAUGGGCGAGUACAGAGGGCAGCGAAACCGCGAGGGUGGGAGCCAAUCUCAGAAAGCU
RNAcentral lists this ribosomal RNA (496 nucleotides) under uncultured bacterium. RNAcentral's name for it is "bacterial SSU rRNA". It matches the Rfam family "Bacterial small subunit ribosomal RNA", at positions 791 to 1283 of the family's 1533-position model. The record is from RNAcentral.